This 654-nucleotide ribosomal RNA is filed under the name uncultured beta proteobacterium. RNAcentral's name for it is "bacterial SSU rRNA". It matches the Rfam family "Bacterial small subunit ribosomal RNA", at positions 60 to 711 of the family's 1533-position model. Lineage: Bacteria; Pseudomonadati; Pseudomonadota; Betaproteobacteria. The record is from RNAcentral.
AGUCGAACGGUAACAGGUCUUCGGACGCUGACGAGUGGCGAACGGGUGAGUAAUACAUCGGAACGUGCCCAGUCGUGGGGGAUAACUACUCGAAAGAGUAGCUAAUACCGCAUACGAUCUGAGGAUGAAAGCGGGGGACCUUCGGGCCUCGCGCGAUUGGAGCGGCCGAUGGCAGAUUAGGUAGUUGGUGGGAUAAAAGCUUACCAAGCCGACGAUCUGUAGCUGGUCUGAGAGGACGACCAGCCACACUGGGACUGAGACACGGCCCAGACUCCUACGGGAGGCAGCAGUGGGGAAUUUUGGACAAUGGGCGAAAGCCUGAUCCAGCAAUGCCGCGUGCAGGAUGAAGGCCUUCGGGUUGUAAACUGCUUUUGUACGGAACGAAAAAGCUUCUCCUAAUACGAGAGGCCCAUGACGGUACCGUAAGAAUAAGCACCGGCUAACUACGUGCCAGCAGCCGCGGUAAUACGUAGGGUGCGAGCGUUAAUCGGAAUUACUGGGCGUAAAGCGUGCGCAGGCGGUUAUGUAAGACAGAUGUGAAAUCCCCGGGCUCAACCUGGGAACUGCAUUUGUGACUGCAUGGCUAGAGUACGGUAGAGGGGGAUGGAAUUCCGCGUGUAGCAGUGAAAUGCGUAGAUAUGCGGAGGAACACCG